This 495-nucleotide ribosomal RNA is filed under the name uncultured bacterium. RNAcentral describes it as "partial 16S ribosomal RNA". It matches the Rfam family "Bacterial small subunit ribosomal RNA", at positions 28 to 507 of the family's 1533-position model. The record is from RNAcentral.
GACGAACGCUGGCGGCGUGCCUAAUACAUGCAAGUAGAACGCUGAAGGAGGAGCUUGCUUCUCUGGAUGAGUUGCGAACGGGUGAGUAACGCGUAGGUAACCUGCCUGGUAGCGGGGGAUAACUAUUGGAAACGAUAGCUAAUACCGCAUAAGAGUAGAUGUCGCAUGACAUUUGCUUAAAAGGUGCAAUUGCAUCACUACCAGAUGGACCUGCGUUGUAUUAGCUAGUUGGUGAGGUAACGGCUCACCAAGGCAACGAUACAUAGCCGACCUGAGAGGGUGAUCGGCCACACUGGGACUGAGACACGGCCCAGACCCCUACGGGAGGCAGCAGUAGGGAAUCUUCGGCAAUGGACGGAAGUCUGACCGAGCAACGCCGCGUGAGUGAAGAAGGUUUUCGGAUCGUAAAGCUCUGUUGUAAGAGAAGAACGAGUGUGAGAGUGGAAAGUUCACACUGUGACGGUAUCUUACCAGAAAGGGACGGCUAACUACGUG